UUGGAGGGCAAGUCUGGUGCCAGCAGCCGCGGUAAUUCCAGCUCCAAUAGCGUAUAUUAAAGUUGUUGCAGUUAAAAAGCUCGUAGUUGAAUUUCGGGGUCAGUAGGUUGGUCAUGCCACUGGUAUGUACUGGUCUCACUGAUUCCUCCUUCCUGAUGAACUGUAAUGCCAUUAAUUUGGUGUUGCAGGGAAUCUGGACUGUUACUUUGAAAAAAUUAGAGUGUUUAAAGCAGGCUAACGCCUGAAUACAUUAGCAUGGAAUAAUGAAAUAGGACGUUCGAUCCUAUUUUGUUGGUUUCUAGGAUUGACGUAAUGAUUAAUAGGGAUAGUUGGGGGCAUUAGUAUUCAAUUGUCAGAGGUGAAAUUCUUGGAUUUAUUGAAGACUAACUACUGCGAAAGCAUUUGCCAAGGAUGUUUUCAUUAAUCAAGAACGAAAGUUAGGGGAUCGAAGACGAUCAGAUACCGUCGUAGUCUUAACCAUAAACUAUGCCGACUAGGGAUCGGAUGAUGUUAAUUUUUUAAUGACUCGUUCGGCGCCUUACGGGAAAC
Molecule: ribosomal RNA, 549 nt
Filed under: uncultured Glomeromycotina
Lineage: Eukaryota; Fungi; Glomeromycota
Description: SSU rRNA
Rfam family: Eukaryotic small subunit ribosomal RNA
Source: RNAcentral